UGUUAUUCACUUUCUCAGGAAAGUAAUAUUUACGGGAAACAAUUUACCCUAUCAUUUCUCUCACCCAUCUCUCUCUCUCGUCCAGACCCAGCACCGCUUCCGUCGAGGACGCCGCCGCCGCCUUCCGAUCAACCACGCCGUUGCCGGACUUUCCUCUGCCGCCACCACCAGAAUUGUCAGCAAUGAACUGGGUUCAACGAAAAAUCUACCUUUACAAUGUGACAUUUGGGCUCUAUAUGUUAGAUUGGUGGGAACGUUGCCUCUUUAAUACUUUGGUGGUGGUAUUGAUGUGGUUCGUUCUUUAUAACGGAUCGCGAUACAUGGUUGAGUUCUCCAAGAGGCAGCGAUGGUAAAAUUCACAAACUGUAGCUUGAAGCGGAAAAGGAUGGAUUUGGAAUGCCAGUGCAACAUCUUACUCUCUGAUUCACUUAACUUAUGAAAACAAAUUUACCUGUAGAAUCAAUGAUACAUGUUGACAAGUUUUGCUUAUUCUUUCUGUUAUUAUUGUUAAGGAUUUUGGCAGCAACCCCCAGUUGGCCCUUCUGUUUACUUUGUUUUCAGAAGAAAAGAUUUUAGUGCUUUAACCCUCUCCUGUUUCAGUCAAGUCUUAAAGUUAUGGAUAAAUUUUUAAUGGUAA
Long non-coding RNA from Morus notabilis, 637 nucleotides. RefSeq lists it as uncharacterized. The transcript has 4 exons. The record is from RefSeq and is a predicted model, not a curated record. NCBI's taxonomy places the organism in Eukaryota, Viridiplantae, Streptophyta, Magnoliopsida, Rosales, Moraceae.